AUUGAACGCUGGCGGCAUGCCUUACACAUGCAAGUCGAACGGCAGCACGGGAGCAAUCCUGGUGGCGAGUGGCGAACGGGUGAGUAAUGUAUCGGAACGUGCCUAGUAGUGGGGGACAACCAUUCGAAAGAGUGGCUAAUACCGCAUACGCACUCUGGUGGAAAGUGGGGGAUCGCAAGACCUCACGCUAUUAGAGCGGCCGAUAUCAGAUUAGGUAGUUGGUGGGGUAAAGGCCUACCAAGCCUGCGAUCUGUAGCUGGUCUGAGAGGACGACCAGCCACACUGGGACUGAGACACGGCCCAGACUCCUACGGGAGGCAGCAGUGGGGAAUUUUGGACAAUGGGCGCAAGCCUGAUCCAGCCAUGCCGCGUGUGGGAAGAAGGCCUUCGGGUUGUAAACCACUUUUGUCAGGGAAGAAACGGCUCUAGCUAAUAUCUGGGGCUAAUGACGGUACCUGAAGAAUAAGCACCGGCUAACUACGUGCCAGCCGCCGCGGUAA
Molecule: ribosomal RNA, 500 nt
Filed under: uncultured bacterium
Lineage: Bacteria
Description: partial 16S ribosomal RNA
Rfam family: Bacterial small subunit ribosomal RNA
Source: RNAcentral